RNAcentral lists this ribosomal RNA (468 nucleotides) under uncultured bacterium. Its description in RNAcentral is "partial 16S ribosomal RNA". It matches the Rfam family "Bacterial small subunit ribosomal RNA", at positions 28 to 507 of the family's 1533-position model. The record is from RNAcentral.
GACGAACGCUGGCGGCGUGCCUAAUACAUGCAAGUCGAACGGAAAGGCCCUGCUUUUGUGGGGCUCUCGAUUGCCGAACGGGUGAGUAACACGUGAGUAACCUGCCCCUGACUUUGGGAUAACUUCACGAAACUGGGGCUAAUACCGGAUAGGAGCUCCUGCUGCAUGGUGGGGGUUGGAAAGUUUCGGCGGUUGGGGAUGGACUCGCGGCUUAUCAGCUUGUUGGGCGGGUAGUGGCUUACCAAGGCUUUGACGGGUAGCCGGCCUGAGAGGGUAACCAGGGUCAUUGCGCCUGAGGUACGGACCAGUCGCCUACGGGAGGCAGCGGUGGGGAAUAUUACACAAUGGGCGGAAGCCAGAUGCAGCAACGCCGCGUGCGGGAUGAUGGCCUUCGAGUUAUAAACCGCUUUCGACUGUGACGAAGACUGAGUGACGGUAAUGGGUAAGGAAGCAACGGCUAACUACGUG